Non-coding RNA from Momordica charantia (bitter melon), 684 nucleotides. The record is from RefSeq and is a predicted model, not a curated record. Lineage: Eukaryota; Viridiplantae; Streptophyta; Magnoliopsida; Cucurbitales; Cucurbitaceae.
UUUUAAAACAGGUUUCGUUUUAAAAACCCUAACCCCUCACCCUUAUCCCCAUAUCUCCCAAAAUACAUUCAGCCGCCGCCUCCGAUUUUUCCACCGCUGCCGUCGUCUCCGCCGAUUAGUCCACCAUCUAGCCGCCGCAACCUCUUCUGGGACCACCACUUCAUCAAUUUCAAUUUGGACCACCUACAGAAAAGAGAUAGAACAUGGAGCUAAAUCCAGGUCCGAUGGAUCGAUCAGUGUUGUAUUGUCAAGCGCGUCAUCGAUCAGAGUUAGUUUGGCAAGAUCAGUGUAACGAGGAGUUGCACUGUAGGCGUAGAGAGGCAGUAUUUGAUCGCACUAUUCCAUUACAUCCUUUGAUUGAGCCAGCACUUCGUGCUUCCGGUUUUUAUGGAUUUGCCAAAGUUGGAUUUAUUCAAUUAGAUUGGCACUUAAUCACUGCGCUUGUGGAGCGAUGGAGGCCGGAGACUCAUACUUUUCACAUGCCUGAUGGUGAAUGCACGAUAACUCUCCAAGAUGUAGCAGUGCAAUUCGGGUUACCGGUAGAUGGUGAGCCAGUAAUAGGGCCAAUACAUUAUGAUUGGAAAGCCACAUAUCAAUUAUUUCUUGGUGUGACUCCAGACGACUCACAUAUUAGAGGAUCUAGACUCAGUUUACCAUGGUUGGCUUCACAGUUCCGGAACUUAG